AGAGUUUGAUCAUGGCUCAGAAUCAACGCUGGCGGCGUGCCUAACACAUGCAAGUCGAACGCGAAAGUGGAGCAAUCCAUGAGUAGAGUGGCAAACGGGUGAGUAACGCGUGGGCGACCUACCUCAGAGUGGGGGAUAACCUUCCGAAAGGAGGGCUAAUACCGCAUGACAUACCGUGUUUGGAUACACGGAUAUCAAAGCCGGGGAUCGCAAGACCUGGCGCUUGGAGAGGGGCCCGCGUCCGAUUAGCUAGUUGGUGAGGUAACGGCUCACCAAGGCUCCGAUCGGUAUCCGGCCUGAGAGGGCGGACGGACACACUGGAACUGAGACACGGUCCAGACUCUUACGGGAGGCAGCAGUGGGGAAUUGUUCACAAUGGGCGCAAGCCUGAUGACGCAACGCCGCGUGGAGGAUGAAGACUUUCGGGUCGUAAACUCCUUUCGACCGAGAUGAAUUUCCGCCGACCUAACACGUCGGCGGGGUGACAGUAUCGAGGGAAGAAGCCCCGGCUAACUCCGUGCCAGCAGCCGCGGUAAUACGGGGGGGGCAAGCGUUGUUCGGAAUUACUGGGCGUAAAGGGUUCGUAGGUGGCCUGCUAAGUCACACGUGAAAUCCCUCAGCUUAACUGGGGAACUGCGUGUGAUACUGGCGAGCUUGAGUGCAGGAGAGGAACGCGGAAUUCCAGGUGUAGCGGUGAAAUG
This 701-nucleotide ribosomal RNA is filed under the name uncultured bacterium. Its description in RNAcentral is "bacterial SSU rRNA". It matches the Rfam family "Bacterial small subunit ribosomal RNA", at positions 8 to 688 of the family's 1533-position model. The record is from RNAcentral.